RNAcentral lists this ribosomal RNA (253 nucleotides) under uncultured bacterium. RNAcentral's name for it is "partial 16S ribosomal RNA". It matches the Rfam family "Bacterial small subunit ribosomal RNA", at positions 524 to 776 of the family's 1533-position model. The record is from RNAcentral.
UACAGAGGGUGCAAGCGUUGUUCGGAAUUAUUGGGCGUAAAGCGCGCGCAGGCGGUCUCUUAAGUCUGAUGUGAAAGCCCCCGGCUCAACCGGGGAGGGUCAUUGGAAACUGGGAGACUUGAGUGCAGAAGAGAAGAGUGGAAUUCCACGUGUAGCGGUGAAAUGCGUAGAGAUGUGGAGGAACACCAGUGGCGAAGGCGACUCUUUGGUCUGUAACUGACGCUGAGGCGCGAAAGCGUGGGGAGCAAACAGG